GACGAACGCUGGCGGCGUGCUUAACACAUGCAAGUCGAACGGAAAGGCCCUGCUUUUGUGGGGUGCUCGAGUGGCGAACGGGUGAGUAACACGUGAGUAACCUGCCCUUGACUUUGGGAUAACUUCAGGAAACUGGGGCUAAUACCGGAUAGGAGCUCCUGCUGCACGGUGGGGGUUGGAAAGUUUCGGCGGUUGGGGAUGGACUCGCGGCUUAUCAGCUUGUUGGUGGGGUAGUGGCUUACCAAGGCUUUGACGGGUAGCCGGCCUGGGAGGGUGACCGGCCACCUUGGGACUGCGGUACGGCCCAGACUCCUACGGGAGGCAGCAGUGGGGAAUAUUGCACAAUGGGCGGAAGCCUGAUGCAGCAACGCCGCGUGCGGGAUGACGGCCUUCGGGUUGUAAACCGCUUUCGCCUGUGACGAAGCGUGAGUGACGGUAAUGGGUAAAGAAGCACCGGCUAACUACGUG
Molecule: ribosomal RNA, 468 nt
Filed under: uncultured bacterium
Lineage: Bacteria
Description: partial 16S ribosomal RNA
Rfam family: Bacterial small subunit ribosomal RNA
Source: RNAcentral